UGCCCCAUGGCUGAGUUGGUUACAGCGUCCGACUGUUAAACUAAGACGAUACACUAUCGGAAGGUCGAGAGUUCGAGCCUCUCUGGGGCAG
This 91-nucleotide transfer RNA is filed under the name Armillaria gallica. It matches the Rfam family "tRNA". From Rfam's summary of the family: Transfer RNA (tRNA) molecules are approximately 80 nucleotides in length. The record is from Rfam by way of RNAcentral. Lineage: Eukaryota; Fungi; Basidiomycota; Agaricomycetes; Agaricales; Physalacriaceae.